This is a non-coding RNA of Zopfochytrium polystomum, 96 nucleotides long. The record is from the annotation of a GenBank genome assembly. Lineage: Eukaryota; Fungi; Chytridiomycota; Chytridiomycetes; Chytridiales; Chytridiaceae.
GCCCCUGUGACGCAGUGGUAGCGUGUGGAUCUUAUGCGCCUUUGGAUGCAAGGCCAUGCAGGUCCGAAGCCGUGAGUUCAACCCUCACCAGGGGCA